This 465-nucleotide ribosomal RNA is filed under the name Vreelandella stevensii. RNAcentral's name for it is "partial 16S ribosomal RNA". It matches the Rfam family "Bacterial small subunit ribosomal RNA", at positions 338 to 795 of the family's 1533-position model. The record is from RNAcentral. Lineage: Bacteria; Pseudomonadati; Pseudomonadota; Gammaproteobacteria; Oceanospirillales; Halomonadaceae.
CCUACGGGGGGCUGCAGUGGGGAAUAUUGGACAAUGGGCGAAAGCCUGAUCCAGCCAUGCCGCGUGUGUGAAGAAGGCCUUCGGGUUGUAAAGCACUUUCAGUGGGGAAGAAAGCCUUGGGGCUAAUACCCUCGAGGAAGGACAUCACCCACAGAAGAAGCACCGGCUAACUCCGUGCCAGCAGCCGCGGUAAUACGGAGGGUGCGAGCGUUAAUCGGAAUUACUGGGCGUAAAGCGCGCGUAGGCGGUCUGAUAAGCCGGUUGUGAAAGCCCCGGGCUCAACCUGGGAACGGCAUCCGGAACUGUCAGGCUAGAGUGCAGGAGAGGAAGGUAGAAUUCCCGGUGUAGCGGUGAAAUGCGUAGAGAUCGGGAGGAAUACCAGUGGCGAAGGCGGCCUUCUGGACUGACACUGACGCUGAGGUGCGAAAGCGUGGGUAGCAAACAGGAUUAGAGACCCGUGUAGUC